CAUACUAUACUGAUUUCAACUCCGCACUUCAUUAUGAGUUGAGAUGGUAUGAGCUUCGGUUUCACAAGCGAUAUAUUGAUAUGGUCAAGAACAAGUAUCUGCCUUACAUUCUUGAAAUGGCGAAGAAAAUUAAGGAUCAAAAUAGGGUUGUGAAGUUUUUCACUACUCGUGGAGGGAGAGACGGCUGGAGCUCUAAAGGGAUCAACCUGGAUCAUCCCAUGACAUUUGAAACGCUAGCCAUGGAUGGAGACCUCAAGCAGAAAGUGGUUGAAGAUCUUAAUAGCUUCAUUCGGGGCAAGGAGUAUUACAAGAAGAUUGGUAAAGUAUGGAAGCGAGGUUACUUAUUAUAUGGUCCUCCAGGAACUGGGAAAUCAAGCCUGAUAGCUGCCAUGGCCAAUUUUCUUAACUUUGAUAUUUAUAACUUGAACCUGUCUGCUGUUAACUCUGACUCUUCUCUUGAGUAUUUGUUGCUUCAUAUGUCCAAUCGUUCAAUUCUUGUGCUGGAGGAUAUCGACUGCUCCAUCAUGCUGCAAAACCGUCAAGCAGGAGAUCAUCAACCAGAUAAUAAUAACCAAAUUUCUCGGCCUCAGGUAACACUCUCUGGCCUUCUAAACGCCAUUGAUGGCCUACUGUCCUGCUGUGGAGAUGAAAGGAUUAUAAUUUUCACUACCAACUACAAAGAUCCUGCCUUGCUAAGAGCAGGUCGUAUGGAUAUGCACAUAUACCUAUCUUACUGCACAUUCUCCACCUUCAAGCAGCUAGCAGCCAAUUACUUGGAUCUAUGGGAGCAUGAUCUCUUUAGUUGUGUUGAAGAGCUUAUUAAAGAAGUUGAAGUUAGCCCUGCUGAUGUUGCAGGGGAACUGAUGAAGAACACAGAUCCUAUGACUUCUCUAGAAGGACUCAUCAAGUUUUUGGAAAUCAAGAAAUCAGAAGCAAAAUCCUUGGAAUCACCUCCCCUAGGAUUGCAAGGACAUGAGAUUAAGUCAGAGCUUGACAGUAACAGCCUUAACGAGAAGGACAAGCACCAACUCCGAAAGUCAUGCAAGAACCCUGAUUCUGGUGAUAGCACCUUCCAAAACCAAAAAGAGGUCAAGUCUCCUGCGGCUCAUUCUACUUCAUUGAAGGAAAAAGAGUAUACAAUUAAGGCAGAAUUUCAGCCUAUCCUUGAAGCUAUUCUUUCAAAGCAUGGAGACAUUGCUGCCAAUUGCUCUUUGCACUCUCUUCAAUGCCGUU
Molecule: unclassified non-coding RNA, 1233 nt
Filed under: Hevea brasiliensis (rubber tree)
Lineage: Eukaryota; Viridiplantae; Streptophyta; Magnoliopsida; Malpighiales; Euphorbiaceae
Source: RNAcentral